CACAGGACAAUUACAGUGAUGCCUUUCAGAGUGUGCAGAACUACCUCUUAAAUAAACAGGUACCAUGCCUGAAAAGGAAAAGUCAGUCUGCUCAGAUUGCCUCUGUGCAGG
Molecule: long non-coding RNA, 111 nt
Organism: Gavialis gangeticus (Gharial)
Lineage: Eukaryota; Metazoa; Chordata; Crocodylia; Gavialidae
Exons: 3
Source: RefSeq, a predicted model, not a curated record